GACGAACGCUGGCGGCGUGCUUAACACAUGCAAGUCGAGCGGUAAGGCCCUUUCGGGGUACGACGAGCGGCGAACGGGUGAGUAACACGUGGGUGACCUGCCCUCAGCUCUGGGAUAAGCCUGGGAAACGUGGGUCUAAUACUGGAUAUGACUCCACGGUGCAUGUCGGUGGGGUGGAAAGCCUUGUGCGGCUGAGGAUGGGCCCGCGGCCUAUCAGCUUGUUGGUGGGGUGANGGCCUACCAAGGCGACGACGGGUAGCCGGCCUGAGAGGGCGACCGGCCACACGUGGGACGUGGGACACGGCCCAGACUCCUACGGGAGGCAGCGAGUGGGGAAUCUUGCGCAAUGGGCGAAAGCCUGACGCAGCGACG
This 372-nucleotide ribosomal RNA is filed under the name uncultured bacterium. RNAcentral describes it as "bacterial SSU rRNA". It matches the Rfam family "Bacterial small subunit ribosomal RNA", at positions 28 to 396 of the family's 1533-position model. The record is from RNAcentral.